GUUAAAAAGCUCGUAGUUGGAUUUCUGCCGAGGACGACCGGUCCGCACUUUGUGCGUGUAUCUAGUUCGGUCUUGGCAUCCUCUUGGGGAACGCUUCUGUGCUUCGUUGCAUGGGGUGGGAUUCAAGACUUUUACUUUGAGGAAAUUAGAGUGUUCACGGCAAGCUUUCGCUUUGAAUACAUUAGCAUGGAAUAAUAAUAUAGGGCGUAAGUUCUAUUUUGUUGGUUCCUAGGACAUACGCAAUGAUUAAUAGGGACAAUUGGGGGCAUUCGUAUUAACGCGUCAGAGGUGGAAUUCUUAGAUUGCGUUACGACGAACUACUGCGAAAGCAUUUGCCAAGGAUGUUUUCAUUGAUCAAGAACGAAAGUAUGGGGAUCGAAGACGAUUAGAUACCGUCGUAGUCUAUACCAUAAACUAUGCCAAUUAGAGAUUGGAGGUCGUUUCUUUUAUGACUCCUUCAGCACCUUAUGAGAAAUCAAAAUUUUUGGGUUCCGGGGGGAGUAUGGUCGCAAGGCUGAGACUUAAAGGAAUUGACGGAAGGGCACCACCAGGAGUGGAGCCUGCGGCUUAAUUUGACUCAACACGGGAAAACUUACCAGGUCCAGACAUAGUAAGGAUUGACAGAUUGACAGCUCUUUCUUGAUUCUA
RNAcentral lists this ribosomal RNA (648 nucleotides) under uncultured marine eukaryote. Its description in RNAcentral is "SSU rRNA". It matches the Rfam family "Eukaryotic small subunit ribosomal RNA", at positions 618 to 1270 of the family's 1831-position model. The record is from RNAcentral.